AAGAACCUUACCUACUCUUGACAUCCAGAGAACUUUCCAGAGAUGGAUUGGUGCCUUCGGGAACUCUGAGACAGGUGCUGCAUGGCUGUCGUCAGCUCGUGUUGUGAAAUGUUGGGUUAAGUCCCGCAACGAGCGCAACCCUUAUCCUUUGUUGCCAGCGGUUAGGCCGGGAACUCAAAGGAGACUGCCAGUGAUAAACUGGAGGAAGGUGGGGAUGACGUCAAGUCAUCAUGGCCCUUACGAGUAGGGCUACACACGUGCUACAAUGGCGCAUACAAAGAGAAGCGACCUCGCGAGAGCAAGCGGACCUCAUAAAGUGCGUCGUAGUCCGGAUUGGAGUCUGCAACUCGACUCCAUGAAGUCGGAAUCGCUAGUAAUCGUAGAUCAGAAUGCUACGGUGAAUACGUUCCCGGCCCUUGUACACACCGCCCGUCACACCAUGGGAGUGGGUUGCAAAAGAAGUAGGUAGC
RNAcentral lists this ribosomal RNA (470 nucleotides) under uncultured Enterobacter sp. RNAcentral describes it as "bacterial SSU rRNA". It matches the Rfam family "Bacterial small subunit ribosomal RNA", at positions 964 to 1434 of the family's 1533-position model. The record is from RNAcentral. Lineage: Bacteria; Pseudomonadati; Pseudomonadota; Gammaproteobacteria; Enterobacterales; Enterobacteriaceae.